Molecule: long non-coding RNA, 1314 nt
Filed under: Lynx canadensis (Canada lynx)
Lineage: Eukaryota; Metazoa; Chordata; Mammalia; Carnivora; Felidae
Description: lncRNA (ENSLCNG00005005826.1)
Source: RNAcentral
GCGGCGGGCAGCACCGGGCCGACUGCGCCCGCCUGAGAGGAACACGGGGGAGGACGUCCCCCAGCCGGAGAAGCGCCCACACACCUCGCUCGCUCUGUCUCUCGCUCUGUCUCUGCCCAGAGCCCGGUUUGAAGGAGACACACUGCGAUGGCUCCACCUGAGGGGCUCAGCCGCCAAGCCAGUCCCCCCGCACCAGGGCUGGACACCAGAGCGGGGGGACCGAACGUCUGGCAGCUCGGGGCGCGCGAACCCACACCUGUCGUUUGAGAACUGCCGCGUGCCUGCUGCUUUACAGAUUGGGGAUUCUUACACAAUGAUCAAAGAAGCCCAAACUUUUUCCUUUACUCCGAAGACUUUAAACACUGGACCGUGACCUUCUUAGGGACAGUGUGACUUUGCUCCUCUCUCACACUCAGCCUAGAGACGGUGCCCAGAUCGGAAAUAAAGCAGCUGACGAAAAAUGUUUGAUUUCUUUAUACACGUUUUACUUUCAUAGCCACCGAAAAGACUGUGUUUCAUUUCCUCUAACAGACUCUGUCCACCAGUUAUGUUGCCCAAAACAUAUCGCUAUAGCGACAGAUAGAAAUAUCUAUGGUACAUUUAUACAGACAGACACGCGUUCUAAAGCACUGGGAAGAUACAGACGAGGCUUUCACACAACUGGGGGCCUCUCAGGUGCCACUUAAGUAUGAUCACUGGGUUGUCUUACAGAGGACUCUCGAUGGGCUUGGUCUGGCCACGAGUCCCAGGUCCCAGAGAGGACUUAUUUAAAAGGGGACAGCGUAACUAGGCCGCGGUCAUCGCCACACUUCGGAGGCCAUAAAUGGAAAUAGGAGGCGCCAGGCUAAGCGGGACAUUGCACGUGGGAAGCCACCACUUUCGCCACGUGGAUUCAAAGCACUCGGGUGCUGCAGUGUAGACGGACGCCCAGCCCACGCUGGGGGCUGAGCUGGCCCGAGCAAGCGUACGUCUGGGAGUAGUGCCGGCUGAGCCCCACUGUCCCUCAGGGCACCGCUGUCACUCGUGUGCUUUAGAACUGCUGAGGAGCUCCCGUGUGGGGACCGCGUGUCCCAUCCGUAGGGAGCAGGGUCCUGUUUCCCCUGGGUGACCACGUGAGGAAGGGCACUGAAGCGAGAAGUGGCCAUUGCGAGUUCCCAGGCCAGUGUGGCGUUUAGAAGCAGGGUCACAAGGCCCUGUACAAACCGUGCCUGUUCUGCUCAGGGCUAGGCCCAGGGCACCCUGGCUGGUGGUUCUCUUGAUGGUGCUCCUUAACGCAGGACAGGCUCUCUACCUUCCGCCCUCCUGCACUGGGCC